RNAcentral lists this ribosomal RNA (253 nucleotides) under uncultured bacterium. RNAcentral's name for it is "partial 16S ribosomal RNA". It matches the Rfam family "Bacterial small subunit ribosomal RNA", at positions 524 to 776 of the family's 1533-position model. The record is from RNAcentral.
UCCAGAGGGGGCAAGCGUUAUUCGGAAUUAUUGGGCGUAAAGGGCGCGUAGGCGGCUUGGCAAGUGGAAGGUGAAAUCCCUCGGCUUAACCGAGGAACUGCCCUCCAAACUGCUUCGCUUGAGACCGGGAGAGGUGAGUGGAAUUCCCAGUGUAGCGGUGAAAUGCGUAGAUAUUGGGAGGAACACCAGUGGCGAAGGCGGCUCACUGGACCGGUACUGACGCUGAUGCGCGAAAGCGUGGGGAGCAAACGGG